This 91-nucleotide ribosomal RNA is filed under the name Candidatus Coprenecus merdigallinarum. Lineage: Bacteria; Pseudomonadati; Bacteroidota; Bacteroidia; Bacteroidales; Rikenellaceae. The record is from RNAcentral.
CAACCUCUUCCCAUUCCGAACAGAGAAGUUAAACGCACUUGUGCCGAUGGUACUGCCCUAACCGGGGUGGGAGAGUAGGUAGCCGCCGCCC